UUAAGCGACUAAGCGUACACGGUGGAUGCCCUGGCAGUCAGAGGCGAUGAAGGACGUGCUAAUCUGCGAUAAGCGUCGGUAAGGUGAUAUGAACCGUUAUAACCGGCGAUUUCCGAAUGGGGAAACCCAGUGUGUUUCGACACACUAUCAUUAACUGAAUCCAUAGGUUAAUGAGGCGAACCGGGGGAACUGAAACAUCUAAGUACCCCGAGGAAAAGAAAUCAACCGAGAUUCCCCCAGUAGCGGCGAGCGAACGGGGAGCAGCCCAGAGCCUGAAUCAGUGUGUGUGUUAGUGGAAGCGUCUGGAAAGGCGCGCGAUACAGGGUGACAGCCCCGUACACAAAAAUGCACAUACUGUGAGCUCGAUGAGUAGGGCGGGACACGUGGUAUCCUGUCUGAAUAUGGGGGGACCAUCCUCCAAGGCUAAAUACUCCUGACUGACCGAUAGUGAACCAGUACCGUGAGGGAAAGGCGAAAAGAACCCCGGCGAGGGGAGUGAAAAAGAACCUGAAACCGUGUACGUACAAGCAGUGGGAGCACGCUUAGGCGUGUGACUGCGUACCUUUUGUAUAAUGGGUCAGCGACUUAUAUUCUGUAGCAAGGUUAACCGAAUAGGGGAGCCGAAGGGAAACCGAGUCUUAACUGGGCGUUAAGUUGCAGGGUAUAGACCCGAAACCCGGUGAUCUAGCCAUGGGCAGGUUGAAGGUUGGGUAACACUAACUGGAGGACCGAACCGACUAAUGUUGAAAAAUUAGCGGAUGACUUGUGGCUGGGGGUGAAAGGCCAAUCAAACCGGGAGAUAGCUGGUUCUCCCCGAAAGCUAUUUAGGUAGCGCCUCGUGAACUCAUCUCCGGGGGUAGAGCACUGUUUCGGCAAGGGGGUCAUCCCGACUUACCAACCCGAUGCAAACUGCGAAUACCGGAGAAUGUUAUCACGGGAGACACACGGCGGGUGCUAACGUCCGUCGUGAAGAGGGAAACAACCCAGACCGCCAGCUAAGGUCCCAAAGUCAUGGUUAAGUGGGAAACGAUGUGGGAAGGCCCAGACAGCCAGGAUGUUGGCUUAGAAGCAGCCAUCAUUUAAAGAAAGCGUAAUAGCUCACUGGUCGAGUCGGCCUGCGCGGAAGAUGUAACGGGGCUAAACCAUGCACCGAAGCUGCGGCAGCGACGCUUAUGCGUUGUUGGGUAGGGGAGCGUUCUGUAAGCCUGUGAAGGUGUGCUGUGAGGCAUGCUGGAGGUAUCAGAAGUGCGAAUGCUGACAUAAGUAACGAUAAAGCGGGUGAAAAGCCCGCUCGCCGGAAGACCAAGGGUUCCUGUCCAACGUUAAUCGGGGCAGGGUGAGUCGACCCCUAAGGCGAGGCCGAAAGGCGUAGUCGAUGGGAAACAGGUUAAUAUUCCUGUACUUGGUGUUACUGCGAAGGGGGGACGGAGAAGGCUAUGUUGGCCGGGCGACGGUUGUCCCGGUUUAAGCGUGUAGGCUGGUUUUCCAGGCAAAUCCGGAAAAUCAAGGCUGAGGCGUGAUGACGAGGCACUACGGUGCUGAAGCAACAAAUGCCCUGCUUCCAGGAAAAGCCUCUAAGCAUCAGGUAACAUCAAAUCGUACCCCAAACCGACACAGGUGGUCAGGUAGAGAAUACCAAGGCGCUUGAGAGAACUCGGGUGAAGGAACUAGGCAAAAUGGUGCCGUAACUUCGGGAGAAGGCACGCUGAUAUGUAGGUGAAGUCCCUUGCGGAUGGAGCUGAAAUCAGUCGAAGAUACCAGCUGGCUGCAACUGUUUAUUAAAAACACAGCACUGUGCAAACACGAAAGUGGACGUAUACGGUGUGACGCCUGCCCGGUGCCGGAAGGUUAAUUGAUGGGGUCAGCGCAAGCGAAGCUCUUGAUCGAAGCCCCGGUAAACGGCGGCCGUAACUAUAACGGUCCUAAGGUAGCGAAAUUCCUUGUCGGGUAAGUUCCGACCUGCACGAAUGGCGUAAUGAUGGCCAGGCUGUCUCCACCCGAGACUCAGUGAAAUUGAACUCGCUGUGAAGAUGCAGUGUACCCGCGGCAAGACGGAAAGACCCCGUGAACCUUUACUAUAGCUUGACACUGAACAUUGAGCCUUGAUGUGUAGGAUAGGUGGGAGGCUUGGAAGUGUGGACGCCAGUCUGCAUGGAGCCGACCUUGAAAUACCACCCUUUAAUGUUUGAUGUUCUAACGUUGACCCGUAAUCCGGGUUGCGGACAGUGUCUGGUGGGUAGUUUGACUGGGGCGGUCUCCUCCUAAAGAGUAACGGAGGAGCACGAAGGUUGGCUAAUCCUGGUCGGACAUCAGGAGGUUAGUGCAAUGGCAUAAGCCAGCUUGACUGCGAGCGUGACGGCGCGAGCAGGUGCGAAAGCAGGUCAUAGUGAUCCGGUGGUUCUGAAUGGAAGGGCCAUCGCUCAACGGAUAAAAGGUACUCCGGGGAUAACAGGCUGAUACCGCCCAAGAGUUCAUAUCGACGGCGGUGUUUGGCACCUCGAUGUCGGCUCAUCACAUCCUGGGGCUGAAGUAGGUCCCAAGGGUAUGGCUGUUCGCCAUUUAAAGUGGUACGCGAGCUGGGUUUAGAACGUCGUGAGACAGUUCGGUCCCUAUCUGCCGUGGGCGCUGGAGAACUGAGGGGGGCUGCUCCUAGUACGAGAGGACCGGAGUGGACGCAUCACUGGUGUUCGGGUUGUCAUGCCAAUGGCACUGCCCGGUAGCUAAAUGCGGAAGAGAUAAGUGCUGAAAGCAUCUAAGCACGAAACUUGCCCCGAGAUGAGUUCUCCCUGACCCUUUAAGGGUCCUGAAGGAACGUUGAAGACGACGACGUUGAUAGGCCGGGUGUGUAAGCGCAGCGAUGCGUUGAGCUAACCGGUACUAAUGAACCGUGAGGCUUAACCUU
Molecule: ribosomal RNA, 2902 nt
Filed under: Escherichia coli KTE212
Lineage: Bacteria; Pseudomonadati; Pseudomonadota; Gammaproteobacteria; Enterobacterales; Enterobacteriaceae
Description: bacterial LSU rRNA
Rfam family: Bacterial large subunit ribosomal RNA
Source: RNAcentral